This is a long non-coding RNA of Vidua chalybeata, 442 nucleotides long. RefSeq lists it as uncharacterized. The transcript is spliced from 2 exons. The record is from RefSeq and is a predicted model, not a curated record. Lineage: Eukaryota; Metazoa; Chordata; Aves; Passeriformes; Viduidae.
GAAACUGGUGCUAGAAAGGAGAGGGUGAAGAGUUGGGGCAGCCCCAGACCUUCCAGCAGCAUAGCCUGUGUGGAGCACUGGCUGUGGUGCCAUGGGCACAGUGCAAAACACAUCUGAGGGGCAAAAUGCAGCAGGUGCCACACCGUGCUGCAUCUACGUUGCUCCUGUGCUCUGGUGUCUCCAUAGAGGGACUUGGUGCCCACUGGGACAUCAGGUGGAGAUAGCCAGAAGCUGCUGAGCUGGAAAUUCCAGAUGUGCAGUCACAGGGUGCUGCUGUGGCAAAAUGGUGACACCAUUCCUUGCUGAAAAUCAAGUGCUUCAGUGCAUUACCAUGAAUGGAAAGGAACUGUUUUUUGAGGAGCAUCCAGUGGAGAAUGCUAGUGAGGAAAACCAGGCAAAGCAGUCUUAAAUUAAAUGGGAAUUCAGACUUCCCAUUUCAGAA